GGGGCUGUAGCUCAGUUGGCUAGAGCGAUCGGCUGGCAGCCGGUAGGUCGAGGGUUCGAGUCCCUCCAGCUCCA
Molecule: transfer RNA, 74 nt
Filed under: Solirubrobacterales bacterium
Lineage: Bacteria; Bacillati; Actinomycetota; Thermoleophilia; Solirubrobacterales
Also listed under: 1 other name
Description: tRNA-Ala
Rfam family: tRNA
About the family: Transfer RNA (tRNA) molecules are approximately 80 nucleotides in length.
Source: RNAcentral